This 75-nucleotide transfer RNA is filed under the name Candidatus Berkelbacteria bacterium. RNAcentral describes it as "tRNA-Arg". It matches the Rfam family "tRNA". From Rfam's summary of the family: Transfer RNA (tRNA) molecules are approximately 80 nucleotides in length. Their secondary structure includes four short double-helical elements and three loops (D, anti-codon, and T loops). The record is from RNAcentral. Lineage: Bacteria; Candidatus Berkelbacteria.
GCCCCUGUAGUUCAAUGGAUAGAACAAUGGCGUCCUAAGCCGGAGAUGUAGGUUCGAUUCCUACCGGGGGUACCA